GAUGAAGAACGUAGCGAAAUGCGAUAAGUAAUGUGAAUUGCAGAAUUCAGUGAAUCAUCGAAUCUUUGAACGCACAUUGCGCCCCCUGGUAUUCCGGGGGGCAUGCCUGUUCGAGCGUCAUUUCACCACUCAAGCCUCGCUUGGUAUUGGGCAACGCGGUCCGCCGCGUGCCUCAAAUCGACCGGCUGGGUCUUCUGUCCCCUAAGCGUUGUGGAAACUAUUCGCUAAAGGGUGUUCGGGAGGCUACGCCGUAAAACAACCCCAUUUCUAAGGUUGACCUCGGAUCAGGUAGGGAUAGCCGCUGAACUUAAGCAUAUCAAUAAGCGGAGGA
This 331-nucleotide unclassified non-coding RNA is filed under the name soil metagenome. RNAcentral's name for it is "partial contains 5.8S ribosomal RNA, internal transcribed spacer 2, and large subunit ribosomal RNA". The stretch from base 1 to 120 matches the Rfam family "5.8S ribosomal RNA", at positions 35 to 154 of the family's 154-position model. The record is from RNAcentral.